RNAcentral lists this long non-coding RNA (367 nucleotides) under Rattus norvegicus (Norway rat). Its description in RNAcentral is "long non-coding RNA NONRATT011036". Lineage: Eukaryota; Metazoa; Chordata; Mammalia; Rodentia; Muridae. The record is from RNAcentral.
GAAAGAAGAGUCAUGUGCCUUUCAGCUUUGAAAUACCUCCUGGUUUCUUUGUGCUUCGUGGCUUUUACAGAGUGAAGCCACCACAGGAACAAACACUGGCUGCAACGUGUUGGUGUCAGGUUUUCACACAAGUGUGAUGUCAGCAGGGCAGCUGGAGGAGGUUCCAUGAAGCUUGGACCUAGCAGUUGAAAGAGACUUAGGUCACUGGAGAGUAAACACCCUAAAGAUCUGGACUGGCACUUUGCGGAUUUCCAUUUGACUUCGGUGGACUUUGAAGAUGGGUCACCACUCUCAUUCAGAUGAAAUUCUUUGGAGAGAACUUUAUUUUCAAAGUAAGGAUUUUCAUCAAAAUAAAAAUCUAUUCUGU